RNAcentral lists this small nucleolar RNA (140 nucleotides) under Penicillium decumbens. RNAcentral describes it as "A. fumigatus snoRNA Afu_198". It matches the Rfam family "A. fumigatus snoRNA Afu_198". Lineage: Eukaryota; Fungi; Ascomycota; Eurotiomycetes; Eurotiales; Aspergillaceae. The record is from Rfam by way of RNAcentral.
GCGAGAAAUAUCGGAUGAUGAGAUACUGCAUAAGAACCGAAUUUUUUUAGGAAGAGCCGGAAGAGGUAUGGCAAUUGGACGCCCAAAGAGGUGCCGUUGUCGUCGAUGCUUAUAAUGGUUCCGCUGAAUGGUGUUUCGGU